UACGUAGGCAGCGAGCGUUGUUCGGAAUUACUGGGCGUAAAGCGUGCGUAGGCGGCCGUGAAAGUUAGAAGUGAAAGCCCUGGGCUCAACCUGGGAAUUGCUUUUAAUACUACACGGCUAGAAUUCGGGAGAGGAUAGCGGAAUUGUCAGUGUAGCAGUGAAAUGCGUAGAUAUUGACAGGAACACCAGUGGCGUAAGCGGCUAUCUGGACCGACAUUGACGCUGAGGCACGAAAGCGUGGGGAUCAAACAGG
RNAcentral lists this ribosomal RNA (253 nucleotides) under uncultured bacterium. RNAcentral describes it as "partial 16S ribosomal RNA". It matches the Rfam family "Bacterial small subunit ribosomal RNA", at positions 524 to 776 of the family's 1533-position model. The record is from RNAcentral.